RNAcentral lists this ribosomal RNA (253 nucleotides) under uncultured bacterium. RNAcentral describes it as "partial 16S ribosomal RNA". It matches the Rfam family "Bacterial small subunit ribosomal RNA", at positions 524 to 776 of the family's 1533-position model. The record is from RNAcentral.
UACGGGGGGGGCAAGCGUUGUUCGGAAUUACUGGGCGUAAAGGGCUCGUAGGCGGCCAACUAAGUCAUACGUGAAAUCCCUCGGCUUAACCGGGGAACUGCGUCUGAUACUGGAUGGCUUGAGUUCGGGAGAGGGAUGCGGAAUUCCAGGUGUAGCGGUGGAAUGCGUAGAGAUCGGGAAGAAUACCUGUGGCGAAGGCGAGUCUCUGGACGAAUCCUGACACUGAGGCACGAAAGCUAGGGGAGCAAACAGG